Molecule: long non-coding RNA, 1321 nt
Filed under: Heterocephalus glaber (naked mole-rat)
Lineage: Eukaryota; Metazoa; Chordata; Mammalia; Rodentia; Bathyergidae
Description: lncRNA (ENSHGLG00000044191.1)
Source: RNAcentral
CUGAGAGAAACAGGAAUUUGGGACUCUUGAGCCAGAUCAGAUUUCAAUACAUCAUUGCCAAUUUGCCUCAUGGAGAGUUUGUUGUUAGUCACAAACACAAUGACUCCUGUGACCAGAGUAACAAUUGUAAACAUCAUGGCAAGAAAAAAUAAAACCUGAGGGUGCGAUGUGUUCCACCCUCCCUUUUCCCCCAGCUGGAACUUUGUCAAGCAGCAUUGGAGGUCAGUCGGGCUUCUCCAGAAUUCACUUCUGAAGAAUUCAGCUCUUCUUUCUUCUGAAAGGAGGCUUACCAAUCAGAAUCAUGGGAAGGAAGUAACUUGGCAGACAUACUGAGCCAGAUUUCUGAGCAAAAAGAUUUUUCCUAAGGCUAGCUGACCUAACUGAAAAAGAGCCACCCCCAGCUCGAACCCCCUCCCACACCUAUGUCUUCCAUUGUCCUUUGUUCUCAGGAAGUGUCUGUAUCCAGUGUACUUUUCUAUCAAAUCAUGUAAACUAAAUGUAACUGCUCAACCAAUGAACUGAUGAUAAAUGCCUUGCUUAUGUAUCCCCACCCUCUUUCCCUUAGCCCAUAUAAACCCUGUUCACUGCCAGCUCAGGGCUGAUUGCUUUGUGGAGAAAUCCCCGAUCAGUCUGCUGGCGUAAUAAACUUGCCUCCAACCUGCGGUGCGGUUUUUUAUUCUUCUUGGCCUGAUCUUGCUCUACCACUAAGAGCUGCCACACUGCAAACUCUAAAUCUGCCAUUACGAUACUAAUCUCCAGGAGUUUAACGUCUCAAGCCCUAAUACACACCGCAGGCUUCUUUUCUGACAUAAAAACCUAGUUUUCCUCUCCAAAACUGUCAAGAGGAAAAAGCUUCAAGAUUAUAUCUAGAUCUAUGUAAACCACUAGAUUGCCUAUCUAGUAUUUCUCUUUUUCUGCAGAAAAUCACAGAAAGAAUAACACGAGGCAAGGUUUAGACAAGAAUCUGAUGACCGCCUGUAGACAAAAUUGUGCAAUCCCAGUUCCUGAUUUACUUUACAGCACGUUCAUCCAGCACGGCCCCACCCGCCCAAUUCCCAGGAAAGGGUUGCAAAUAUUUUUCAGUACUGGGUACUGAACACUGGGGGUACGGAGGGGCAUCCCCAGCCCUUUUCCCUUGUUUGUUUGGUGUUUUGGGUUUUUUUGUACCGGGGAUCGAACUCGGGUUCUUCCGUUUGCGAGUAGGUGGCGAAACCACUGAGCUAAAUCCCUGGCCCUUUCCCUUCUUGUUUAGAGACAAGGUCUCCCUAAAUUGCUCAGGCAGAGCUUAGAUUUACGAUCCUCCCGCCUCAGCCUCCCAGAC